CGGUGUAGCUCAGUUGGUAGAGCAGCUGAUUUGUAAUCAGCAGGUCGGGGGUUCGAAUCCCUUCGCCG
RNAcentral lists this transfer RNA (68 nucleotides) under marine eukaryotic metagenome. It matches the Rfam family "tRNA". Rfam says of the family: Transfer RNA (tRNA) molecules are approximately 80 nucleotides in length. The record is from RNAcentral.